RNAcentral lists this ribosomal RNA (507 nucleotides) under uncultured bacterium. RNAcentral describes it as "bacterial SSU rRNA". It matches the Rfam family "Bacterial small subunit ribosomal RNA", at positions 791 to 1301 of the family's 1533-position model. The record is from RNAcentral.
UAGUCCACGCAGUAAACGAUGAGUGCUAGUUGUCGGGAUUUUUCUCGGUGGCGAAGCUAACGCGUUAAGCACUCCGCCUGGGGAGUACGGCCGCAAGGCUAAAACUCAAAGGAAUUGACGGGGACCCGCACAAGCAGUGGAGCAUGUGGUUUAAUUCGAUGAUACGCGAGAAACCUUACCAGCUCUUGAAUCCUGAUUACGAUUUUCAGAGAUGAAUUUUUCAGUUCGGCUGGAUCAGUGACAGGUGUUGCAUGGCUGUCGUCAGCUCGUGUCGUGAGAUGUUAGGUUAAGUCCUUUAACGAGCGCAACCCCUAUCCUUAGUUGCCAGCAAGUAAUGUUGGGGACUCUAGGGAAACUGCCUACGCAAGUAGGAGGAAGGUGGGGAUGACGUCAAAUCAUCAUGGCCUUUAUGUCCAGGGCUACACACGUGCUACAAUGGUAGGGACAAAGGGUUGCGACACUGUGAGGUGAAGCCAAUCCCAAAAACCCUAUCUCAGUUCGGAUUGG